RNAcentral lists this ribosomal RNA (536 nucleotides) under uncultured Vibrio sp. Its description in RNAcentral is "bacterial SSU rRNA". It matches the Rfam family "Bacterial small subunit ribosomal RNA", at positions 49 to 564 of the family's 1533-position model. The record is from RNAcentral. Lineage: Bacteria; Pseudomonadati; Pseudomonadota; Gammaproteobacteria; Vibrionales; Vibrionaceae.
UAACACAUGCAAGUCGAGCGGAAACGACAUUAUUGAAUCUUCGGAGGAUUUAAUGGGCGUCGAGCGGCGGACGGGUGAGUAAUGCCUAGGAAAUUGCCUUGAUGUGGGGGAUAACCAUUGGAAACGAUGGCUAAUACCGCAUAAUGCCUACGGGCCAAAGAGGGGGAUCUUCGGACCUCUCGCGUCAAGAUAUGCCUAGGUGGGAUUAGCUAGUUGGUGAGGUAAUGGCUCACCAAGGCGACGAUCCCUAGCUGGUCUGAGAGGAUGAUCAGCCACACUGGAACUGAGACACGGUCCAGACUCCUACGGGAGGCAGCAGUGGGGAAUAUUGCACAAUGGGCGAAAGCCUGAUGCAGCCAUGCCGCGUGUAUGAAGAAGGCCUUCGGGUUGUAAAGUACUUUCAGUUGUGAGGAAGGGGGUAACGUUAAUAGCGUUAUCUCUUGACGUUAGCAACAGAAGAAGCACCGGCUAACUCCGUGCCAGCAGCCGCGGUAAUACGGAGGGUGCGAGCGUUAAUCGGAAUUACUGGGCGUAAA